ACAUAUUGACGGGGUUCUCAGAAGCACAGCCUCUGAUUAGCUGUGCUGAUUUCAUUAUUUUGUGUGUUUGACUUCGUCAUGCAGCAGAUCUACACACAGAGCCAUGAAGAGUUUGAGGUGUUCACCACUGUUCUGUCGCCUCAAGUUUGUCGGAAGAGAGUGAUUUUCAAGCACCAAGGAGAAAAGGUAACACAUUUUCUCAUUUGAGCUGCAGGAUCAUGUAAUACAGCAGUUUAUACUACAGAGCUGAUGGUAAAGAUAAAAUGUUUUUUUUGUGUAUGAGAUGGUUGUGGCAGCAGACUACAGCGCAGACUGUGAUGAAGAGCUGAGUGUCCGUGCCGGUGAGGUGGUGUUGCUGCUGUAUCAGGAGAAUGCUGACUGGUGCUAUGCCCGACUUCAGAAUGGAAAGGAAGGAUACCUGCUCACAGCCUGCUUCACUACGAGGGCAUUCUCUGAAACUGCCGCGGCGAGCGUCUCUGUCAGGAGUGCCAGGUUCCCCUCGAUUGCUUCAGAGGCUGCUCUCUCGUCGACGUAGUGACGGACAUGCUGUACGUUCGAUCGGCUCCAUCAAUCCUGCAUUUCAUCCUGACUGAUGCAUCCAACCCUAGAGCUCCACCUUUCUUUUCUAAAAUGGGUCACAGAACAGCAGAAAAUAGGACAAGUAUGACACCAAAGUUCAGUCUGUAUGCAACUCCUUCAGAUUUGGAGAUAAAACAGAAGUUCGGUGUCCUGAUUAGGGUUUGGGGCCUCAGUAACUUCGUAGCCAGUUCGUGGCACUGAACCUGCAACUGGUGUCAAGAAUCUUUACCAUUACUGCCCCAUGUAAAUAUGUAAAUAUUGUGAUUUUGAUUGGAAAUGUCACACUCUUCUUCACCUAUGAAUGUAUUUGAAAUGUAUGUUUUGACUAAUAAUACAGAAAGACUACAAUGAGAAAUUGUUAUUAGUUUAU
Molecule: long non-coding RNA, 949 nt
Filed under: Sinocyclocheilus anshuiensis
Lineage: Eukaryota; Metazoa; Chordata; Actinopteri; Cypriniformes; Cyprinidae
Description: lncRNA (ENSSANG00000000861.1)
Source: RNAcentral